This 667-nucleotide long non-coding RNA is filed under the name Equus asinus (donkey). Its description in RNAcentral is "lncRNA (ENSEASG00005027237.1)". Lineage: Eukaryota; Metazoa; Chordata; Mammalia; Perissodactyla; Equidae. The record is from RNAcentral.
GUUCACUGUAGACCUUUGUAAGCCUGUGUCCUUUCCUUUUAUCUACCCCUGCCUCCUUUGUCUUCCUAGGAGCACAUUUGAGCUUCUACUCGAAUCUACAUCUCCUGAAUUGCAAUUCUUGAGACCCCCAAAUAAACUUUUUGGUUCUUUUGCAGUUUAUGCCUCUUAUUUGCUGACUUUACAUGGUGACAGAAGUGGGAUCCCUAGCUACUGACCUUCAAUUCUGGUGCCACUUCACAGACACAAGCAAGGUGCCUGCAAAGAAUCUUUUGUGCUCUGUCGUCUCCUCCUGGUGGCUCUGGUUCCUGGUGAUUGGUUGCAGACAAUGCUACAGGCAUCAGGAAUGGCGGAGCCAAGAGACGGGAAGUCAUGGGUGACUGACACACCCUGUGGAAGAGAACCACCUGCCCAACACGAAACCCACCUUGGCCUGUAAGGUUUCUCAAGAACUUGCUCCCAGAAAAAACCUGGAUGGAGAACAAAACAGCCUCGCGUUUCCUCUACCUCCCUGAGCAAAAGGAAACAGGAAGCAAAGUCUAGUCUUGAAUGUUCCAAAGCCUUAUGAUGUUUACCAUUCCCCCCAGGAGAGGAAGAAAGUUAGCAGUGGGGAAGGAACUCGGGGCUGCAACAGCGCGCGGCUGCAGAGGCUGAAGCAGGAGCCGCGGCG